UACGUAGGGUGCGAGCGUUAAUCGGAAUUACUGGGCGUAAAGCGUGCGCAGGCGGUUAUGCAAGACAGAUGUGAAAUCCCCGGGCUCAACCUGGGAACUGCAUUUGUGACUGCAUGGCUGGAGUGCGGCAGAGGGGGAUGGAAUUCCGCGUGUAGCAGUGAAAUGCGUAGAUAUGCGGAGGAACACCGAUGGCGAAGGAAAUCCCCUGGGCCUGCACUGACGCUCAUGCACGAAAGCGUGGGGAGCAAACAGG
This 253-nucleotide ribosomal RNA is filed under the name uncultured bacterium. RNAcentral describes it as "partial 16S ribosomal RNA". It matches the Rfam family "Bacterial small subunit ribosomal RNA", at positions 524 to 776 of the family's 1533-position model. The record is from RNAcentral.